UCAAGGUCAGCGAAGGCGGGUGCUGGAGGGUUCGUAUUCAGCAGGCUUCUCCCUCAGCUGGCAGAGCCGCUUUGAACUUUUCCCUUUUAAACAAAUAGGAUGGGAAACUGCAAAGGAACAAAUGCUGGGAAUCAUAGAAAGGAGGGCGCCGCAAAUAAAUAAAUAAAUGGCCAGCCGCGUCCCUGGCAAAUGAAAGGCACCACUCCCGGAUUUCCAGCGCCUCCAUGCAUUUGGGGCGGAUGAGAAACUUUAAAACAAAAACAAUAGAAUAAACCGGCGCUCUUUUUCUUCCCCCACUCCGAAGGGUGAACCCUUUAUUUUUGACAACAAAUAAGACGCAGUUGGCAGGCUUUUGUCUCUGCUUCCGAACAAACUCUUGCCAAGUGUUGAGAAGACGCUCUUCACCCAUCUCGAGGGAGGGAGAAGGCAAGAGGGGGCAAGGCAGUGGUUGUCCACAUGGCUGCCCAAACUCUGAAUUUACCAGAAACAGUUUGUAAGCACAAGGCACCGUGGCUCUGGAUCUUGGAACAAAAUUCCCCUAAUUACAGCAUCUAAACCUUUCUCGUAGCCCGGAGAGGGGUUGUGUCUCUAAAUCUCCUGCGAACUGCAGAUUAUUAUCUUGGGCUUUAUUAUCGCAUCUGGGAAAACUUAUUUUUUUUUUAUAGAGUCAUUCCACUAAUCAUCAGUCUACGAGCCAAGAGUGGUACCCCUCGUCCCUCCAACUCGAAAUGUGCGCCUUUUUCGAGAAGCAUUUUGUCAAGAGCACCCCAGCCCCUGAUACGGGCUGUUUAUCAGGGUCGGUGCUACCAGGCUGAUAUUUCUAAUUUAUCGGGAUGCUUCAAAGGUAUUCAGCAGGAACACCGUUCUCCUCACUUUGCUUAUGAAGUGGAACUGCGGUUUGAAAGGAACAUCAAGUUGCUAGCUGUCUUCUUGCUGUAAUUGUAUUUAAUUCAUUAUCUUUCAUUUCAAUAAAAUCACAGGAAAA
This is a long non-coding RNA of Callorhinus ursinus (northern fur seal), 985 nucleotides long. RefSeq lists it as uncharacterized. The record is from RefSeq and is a predicted model, not a curated record. Lineage: Eukaryota; Metazoa; Chordata; Mammalia; Carnivora; Otariidae.